This 497-nucleotide ribosomal RNA is filed under the name uncultured bacterium. RNAcentral describes it as "partial 16S ribosomal RNA". It matches the Rfam family "Bacterial small subunit ribosomal RNA", at positions 28 to 507 of the family's 1533-position model. The record is from RNAcentral.
GAUGAACGCUGGCGGCGUGCCUAAUACAUGCAAGUCGAGCGAACAGACGAGGAGCUUGCUCCUCUGACGUUAGCGGCGGACGGGUGAGUAACACGUGGAUAACCUACCUAUAAGACUGGGAUAACUUCGGGAAACCGGAGCUAAUACCGGAUAAUAUAUUGAACCGCAUGGUUCAAUAGUGAAAGACGGUUUUGCUGUUACUUAUAGAUGGAUCCGCGCCGCAUUAGCUAGUUGGUAAGGUAACGGCUUACCAAGGCAACGAUGCGUAGCCGACCUGAGAGGGUGAUCGGCCACACUGGAACUGAGACACGGUCCAGACUCCUACGGGAGGCAGCAGUAGGGAAUCUUCCGCAAAGGGCGAAAGCUUGACGGAGCAACGCCGCGUGAGUGAUGAAGGUCUUCGGAUCGUAAAACUCUGUUAUUAGGGAAGAACAAAUGUGUAAGUAACUAUGCACGUCUUGACGGUACCUAAUCAGAAAGCCACGGCUAACUACGUG